This 513-nucleotide ribosomal RNA is filed under the name uncultured bacterium. RNAcentral's name for it is "partial 16S ribosomal RNA". It matches the Rfam family "Bacterial small subunit ribosomal RNA", at positions 28 to 523 of the family's 1533-position model. The record is from RNAcentral.
GAUGAACGCUGGCGGCGUGCCUAAUACAUGCAAGUCGAACGCACAGCGAAAGGUGCUUGCACCUUUCAAGUGAGUGGCGAACGGGUGAGUAACACGUUGACAACCUGCCUCAAGGCUGGGGAUAACAUUUGGAAACAGAUGCUAAUACCGAAUAAAACUUAGUGUCGCAUGACAAAAAGUUAAAAGGCGCUUCGGCGUCACCUAGAGAUGGAUCCGCGGUGCAUUAGUUAGUUGGUGGGGUAAAGGCCUACCAAGACAAUGAUGCAUAGCCGAGUUGAGAGACUGAUCGGCCACAUUGGGACUGAGACACGGCCCAAACUCCUACGGGAGGCUGCAGUAGGGAAUCUUCCACAAUGGGCGAAAGCCUGAUGGAGCAACGCCGCGUGUGUGAUGAAGGCUUUCGGGUCGUAAAGCACUGUUGUAUGGGAAGAACAGCUAGAAUAGGAAAUGAUUUUAGUUUGACGGUACCAUACCAGAAAGGGACGGCUAAAUACGUGCCAGCCGCCGCGGUAA